RNAcentral lists this long non-coding RNA (242 nucleotides) under Carica papaya (papaya). RNAcentral's name for it is "long non-coding RNA (CPAP_LNC012952)". The record is from RNAcentral. Lineage: Eukaryota; Viridiplantae; Streptophyta; Magnoliopsida; Brassicales; Caricaceae.
UAUUAAACAUAAAACAUGCAAAACACAAAACACAAACUUCAUAAUUUUGAUUUUCUAGAAAUUCUCCUUAAGAUGUUUAAGGAAAUACUAAAUUCCUUACCAAAACCUUAAAGUUUUCCUACAGCUUUCUUCUUCAUCUCCUCUCUUUUUCUCUCUAGAUCACUCAUUCUCUCUCUAAGCUCUUGGAAGAUGGAAUAUUGAAAUGGAAGUGAUGAGGAAAAUGGAAGACAUGGGUCCCUAUU